Cotesia glomerata is the source of this 1429-nucleotide long non-coding RNA. RefSeq lists it as uncharacterized. The record is from RefSeq and is a predicted model, not a curated record. The transcript is spliced from 4 exons. NCBI's taxonomy places the organism in Eukaryota, Metazoa, Arthropoda, Insecta, Hymenoptera, Braconidae.
GCGGGUCCGACUCGCGGCCUACAGACACUACGUAGGUGUGAGACAAACUUCCUAGGUGUCGGGAGAUACAUACAUCAAAUUGACUACAUGAUAAAUCUCCGGCAGGAAAUUCGCGGUCUCUUUUGGUACACAAAGCCGAUAAAUGUGCCAGGGCAAGUGGUUGGACCUCACACCCAAUAUCCAAACCCGAGACUCCAGAGAGCUGUUAUGUAGAAAAGACUUGCAUUAAUCUCCGGUGGUGAAUGCGACGUUUCUACGAAUUACCUGGUGGUACGCCGAUCCUGACCGACGGUCUGUAGUCCGAUGGCUCCGUUGGUCUCUUCCACGACAAGAGCAGGAUAGAAAAGACAUUCGAUGGGUUAAGGUUUAAUAUAUAGAUAUAGAUAUAGUAAGCGAAACCAACAAAAAGUUUGUGCCAACGUAUUUCUCGACAGUGGUUUAGUGAAGAAAUCGGGUGAGAAAAACGACGCUGGACCUGCACGAUCGUGAAUAAUACCAAAGACUCGUUUCUCGCCUAUUCAUGAGUCGCAUUAAGGCAGCGAGGGACGAGUCAAUAUACAAAGGAUAAUCCCUUGAUUGCGUGUGCGAGCACGAAAUUCUUUUCUCACUUGGUUUAGACCCAUGAGGAGAAACUUCUUCUUCUUCUUCUUUACCCUCAGAUUGUUCUUCUUCUUAUUCUUAUUCAUCUACUUUAUUCUUGUUAUUUUAUUAUUUAGUAUUCUUAUUUUAUGCUAUUCAUUUCUAUUUCAAUUUAUUACUUUUUUUUUUUGUUUUCUUUUUCUAGGAAGAUUUUGCGCCGACACCAAUGUCCCGAUCGAUUUCACGCCGAUCAAAUUCAAAUAACCUGCUGAAAAAAAAUAUCUCGGCGGCAACUUGAUUUUUGCCUUACAGCGCCACCUGGCGGUCUUUGCCAUAACUAAUAAAGCGAACUUUGUUGCUAGAGGUUAUACAAGAUGGCUGCUACUCUUCAUCACCGUAUUUAGACUUUUUUGUGAAGAGGUGAAGACCCGGUGCAUAUUUUGUACAAUGCAACGCCACGAGGAACAAGAACAAGGGAAGAAUACUCAAGAGGAAGAGGAAGAUAAAAAUGAAGAAGAAGAAAUCUAAGUUUAAGUUUAAGAAGAAGAAUAUGAAGUAGAAGGUGAAGUAUUAAACGCCCACCCGAGUGUAACAGUUUACUCGGAUCGUUUUUUUCCGAUCGUAUGGUAUUAUAUUUAUAUAUAUGUAUAUUUAUAUUUGUAUGGAUGUAAGAGUUAAAAGUUUAAGUUGUAUAUAACUAACAACAACUACUCGAUAUAUUAUAAUACUUGUGUGUUGUGUGUGUUGCUUACAACGAUCGGGGCGAUUUUAUUGCCGCACAAGUCUGUGAGACGAUGGGAAUGUUGGCGCCAUUUCUCGCAUAAGCCAGGGGCCGGCUGGCCUGGCUUGA